AUUCCUCCAUUACACAAGGCCCAGGACUCCUGGGUUCUCUCCCCAGCUCUGGGAGUGGAGUGGGGUCUAGUGGUUAGAGCAGGGGUGGGCUGGGCUGUGAGUCUUCAGUCUGUUCCUACAAGGAAGCCCAGGAUUUUCCCUCUUACCCAUCACGUUCACACUGAUCCUCGUCAUCCACUUCUCCUCCCACUUCUUCCUGGGUUUCGAGGUGAUUUGUCUCAGCCCAUAGGAGCCGUUCUCGCUGGCCCACAGGUCAGACAGCUGCAGGCUGGAAUCUCUCUCCAGGUCCCUGCAAAGGCCGGGCUGAUGGCAGCGUUGUGUUUAUACAGGAUGGUGCCACUGAAAUCUUUCUUCUCCGGGUCAUACCCAGGGUUCAGGUACCAGGCCAGGGAGUUGAUGGUCGGGUUAUUUGGCGUUCUGGGGUUCAGGAGGCAGGAUUGAUAGCGGCACGGGAUGGACAGACAGGCCCCCAUCCAAGCAAUCAGAGAUGCGGGCACCUCAACGGGUUGGUUGCAUUGACAGAGGAAGCCUGGAAGCAGCAGAGUGACAGAGAUGGCAGCGAGGGGCAGGCUGGCCGGGUGCUUCGGUGCCGAACUGGGACUCAGGAGAUCGGGGUGCUGAGUUUUCCCGCAGGCCAGAGACGGAGUCACCCUAUGAGGAACUCCAAGGACGGACACAAGAUAUUUACAACGAGUUGGUCUUACCCCAAGCGGGUUCCCGCUAAUCUCUGCUGAAAUCCCAACCAGCCGGGGACUCCUCUGCAUGGCCAGGACCUUAAAGCCAUCGCUCAAUGGGGCCAGAUCCCAGCAGGGGUCCACAAGCGCCGACUUUCCAUUAUGCCGGGGGAUGCUUGACCCCUGGCUCUGCCCUAGGCUCCACCCCUUCCCUCAAGGCCACACCCAUUUGUCCCAGUGGGUGCUCCAGCCCCAGCACACCCAUGGAGUCGGCAUCUAUGCUGGGGUCAAGCAGCCAUAGCUCCAUUGGAAUGAAUGGGGCCAGACCCCUAGUUGGGGUGACAUGGCCGUCACUGCACUGGAGAACUCAACUGGGAAUAAAUAGCUCCGAAAUGCAGGGAUUGGGUCAUUUAUUUUUCUGUAUCAUCUUUAUAAAAAACAGUGGAAAUACCUGUGACGUUCUGUAGCUCGUGGGAACACCCUGCACCCCCACGUUCUGUGCAAUCAUGCAGGGCCGGCGCUUCCAUUAGAUGAUCCUAGGCAGUCAC
This is a long non-coding RNA of Mauremys reevesii (Reeves's turtle), 1222 nucleotides long. RefSeq lists it as uncharacterized. The record is from RefSeq and is a predicted model, not a curated record. NCBI's taxonomy places the organism in Eukaryota, Metazoa, Chordata, Testudines, Geoemydidae. The transcript is spliced from 3 exons.